GUGGGGGAUAACGUUCGGAAACGGACGCUAAUACCGCAUACGUCCUACGGGAGAAAGCAGGGGACCUUCGGGCCUUGCGCUAUCAGAUGAGCCUAGGUCGGAUUAGCUAGUUGGUGAGGUAAUGGCUCACCAAGGCGACGAUCCGUAACUGGUCUGAGAGGAUGAUCAGUCACACUGGAACUGAGACACGGUCCAGACUCCUACGGGAGGCAGCAGUGGGGAAUAUUGGACAAUGGGCGAAAGCCUGAUCCAGCCAUGCCGCGUGUGUGAAGAAGGUCUUCGGAUUGUAAAGCACUUUAAGUUGGGAGGAAGGGCCAUUACCUAAUACGUGAUGGUUUUGACGUUACCGACAGAAUAAGCACCGGCUAACUCUGUGCCAGCAGCCGCGGUAAUACAGAGGGUGCAAGCGUUAAUCGGAAUU
RNAcentral lists this ribosomal RNA (421 nucleotides) under Pseudomonas sp. SCN502. Its description in RNAcentral is "bacterial SSU rRNA". It matches the Rfam family "Bacterial small subunit ribosomal RNA", at positions 136 to 552 of the family's 1533-position model. The record is from RNAcentral. Lineage: Bacteria; Pseudomonadati; Pseudomonadota; Gammaproteobacteria; Pseudomonadales; Pseudomonadaceae.